CUACGGGACGCUGCAGUGGGGAAUAUUGCACAAUGGAGGAAACUCUGAUGCAGCAACGCCGCGUGGAGGAUGACACUUUUCGGAGCGUAAACUCCUUUUAUAUAGGAAGAAGAUGACGGUACUAUAUGAAUAAGCGCCGGCUAACUCCGUGCCAGCAGCCGCGGUAAUACGGAGGGCGCAAGCGUUACUCGGAAUCACUGGGCGUAAAGAGCGUGUAGGCGGAUUAAAAAGUCAGAAGUGAAAUCCUAUAGCUUAACUAUAGAACUGCUUCUGAAACUCUUAAUCUAGAAUAUGGGAGAGGUAGAUGGAAUUUCUGGUGUAGGGGUAAAAUCCGUAGCGAUCAGAAGGAAUACCGAUUGCGAAGGCGACCUACUAGAACAUUAUUGACGCUGAGACGCGAAAGCGUGGGGAGCAAACAGGAUUAGAUACCCCUGUAGUC
Molecule: ribosomal RNA, 439 nt
Filed under: uncultured bacterium
Lineage: Bacteria
Description: partial 16S ribosomal RNA
Rfam family: Bacterial small subunit ribosomal RNA
Source: RNAcentral